Molecule: non-coding RNA, 415 nt
Filed under: Pan troglodytes (chimpanzee)
Lineage: Eukaryota; Metazoa; Chordata; Mammalia; Primates; Hominidae
Source: RNAcentral
CGCGGGGGGCCUCGGGGCUGAGGUCCGCAGGGGUGCCGCGCCCUGGAGUCCGGCUGCCUAGGAGUCCGGGCGUCGCUGCCAGCCGUGGGGGAGGGGCGAGCCUCCCGCCAGGCCCCGCCCCCUCGGCGCCGCGUCCCCACGGCCCCGGCGCCGCCCGCCUGCGCCCGCCUCCUGUGCCCGCCCCCGGUAAUAUCGGAAACAAAAGGAGAGGCUGCAAUCGCAAAUUAUUUAAAAAGAAAAAAAAGGAAAGAAAAGUUGAAUCAAAAUAAGUGAAAAAUCCUCGUUCAAGUGUUCUGGCAUUAAGAUUGACUGUCACACUGAAUUCUGUGCCAAUCCUAACAAAAUGUGUUCUUUUUCUGGUCUUCACAAGUAAGAAUGUCUUAGGUUUUCCAGAAAUAAAGAUGUCCCAAGAGAA